Long non-coding RNA from Bos taurus (domestic cattle), 1302 nucleotides. The record is from Ensembl. Lineage: Eukaryota; Metazoa; Chordata; Mammalia; Artiodactyla; Bovidae.
UGGAGAAGGAAAUGGCAGCCCACUCCAAUAUUCUUGCCUGGAGAAUCCCAUGGACAGAGGAGCCUUGCAGGCUACAGUCCAUGGGAUCGAAAAGAGUCGGACACGACUGAGCAACCUCACUUUCACAUUCAGUUCUAGGGACUGGGUGAGACGAUUCAACCAUCCUAACAUUGCAGCUGUUUAUUUCCCAAAUACCUUUCCCUCUAGUCUUGUCUAUAUGCACACACAGCCUUGCAUAGCCAUUCAUUAUAAGUACAGUUUUAACAAGGCUAUUUUUACCUAAACAUCAUCAGUUUAUUCUAUAUUUUAAAGCAUUUUUUCAGAAGGUUGCAUCCACAACUUACAGAGUCCCCACCUUGUGCAAGCAACCUAAACAGCAAAGAGGAUAUUAGAGCCACACAAAUAUAUGUGUUGUAUGUUUUCACGUUGGUCAUAAUAUUUUAAAAGCCUAUUCCCUAUUAAAAUAGGAGAUACCAUCUCUACUUUCCUGGACUUCUUACCCAUUCUGGCCCCAGCUACAGUUGACUUUUAUUUGUCCUUGAAUGCAUUAUCUCCUUCCUGUGACCUGUUUUGCUUCAGUGGCUACCCUGUUACCAUUUCAUUUGUGUUUGCCUUUGGCAGCCAGGAGGGGAGAAAAGAUAACAUGUGCAGGAGAGGACCAGACUCAAACCACGGCAGCUGUCCAGGAGAUCAGGCUGGAAGAAGGGAUUGUUGUUGUUUGGUCACUAAGUCAUGUCCAACUCUUUGCAACCCCAUAGACUGUAGCCCACCAGGCUCCUCCGUCCAUGGCAUUUCCCAGGCAAGAACACUGGAGGGAUCUUCCUGACCCAGGGAUCUGAACCCGCAUCUCCUGCAUUGGCGGGACUGUUUACCACUGAGUCACCAGGGACGCCUCCCGAAGAAAGAGGGGAAACAGAGAUAUUCAUGGAGUGCCUGGUUUGCGUGAGAGCCUGUGUUGGGCUCUUUGCUUACAUGACCUCAACGUAGGAUGUUCACAAGGAAGUGCUUCCUCAUAUCAUCCUAGGAGUUCGUGGGAGAGCAGGGCAAAUGAUCAUUCUCGUUUUGUAGAUGAGGAAACCGAGGUUUCUCAUGACAGGGUGAGGAAUUGUAGCCCAUCUGACCUUAUGCUCUUGGUUCCCUACACCGUGUCCCAAAUGUUAGCCUCUGUCUUCUCCUGCCCUCAUUCUAGCGUGGUUCACAGGACACUUGCCCAGUCUGCCCACCAUGACUGUUUAAUAAAUAAGGACUGAGGAAUGCAAAUUAGAAAAGCAGUGCAAACAAAGCCACAAAGCUAAAUUCUAC